AUUGCCCCAGUAACGGCGAGUGAAGCGGCAACAGCUCAAAUUUGAAAUCUGGCCCCCCCGGGGCCCGAGUUGUAAUUUGCAGAGGAUGCUUCGGGCGCGGCGGCCUUCUGAGUCCCCUGGAACGGGGCGCCGCAGAGGGUGAGAGCCCCGUACCGUCGGCCGCCAAGCCCGUGUGAAGCUCCUUCGACGAGUCGAGUAGUUUGGGAAUGCUGCUCAAAAUGGGAGGUAAAUUUCUUCUAAAGCUAAAUACCGGCUAGAGACCGAUAGCGCACAAGUAGAGUGAUCGAAAGAUGAAAAGCACUUUGAAAAGAGGGUUAAACAGCACGUGAAAUUGUUGAAAGGGAAGCGCCUGUGGCCAGACGUGCGCCGGGCGGAUCACCCAGCGUUCUCGCUGGUGCACUCCGCCCGGCGCAGGCCAGCAUCGGUUCCCGCGGGGGGACAAAAGCGCCGGGAACGUAGCUCCCCCCGGGGAGUGUUAUAGCCCGGGGCACAAUGCCCCCGCGGGGACCGAGGUCCGCGCCCUGCAAGGAUGCUGGCGUAAUGGCCACCGGCGACCCGUCUUGAAACACGGACCAAGGAGUCAAGGUUCUGCGCGAGUGUUUGGGUGUCAAACCCGCACGCGUAAUGAAAGUGAACGUGGGUGAGAGCUUCGGCGCAUCACCGACCGAUCCUGAUGUACUCGGAUGGAUUUGAGUAGGAGCGUAGUGCCUUGGACCCGAAAGGUAUGCCCGAUCCCCUCCCUCCCCCCCACCCCCCACAGCGAAGCGUGUACUAACGGACCCCCCGCAGAUGGUGAACUAUGCUUGGAUAGGGUGAAGCCAGAGGAAACUCUGGUGGAGGCUCGCAGCGGUCUGACGUGCAAAUCGAUCGUCAAAUCUGAGCAUGGGGGCGAAAGAGUAAUCGAACCAUCUAGUAGCU
Molecule: ribosomal RNA, 918 nt
Filed under: Linocarpon appendiculatum
Lineage: Eukaryota; Fungi; Ascomycota; Sordariomycetes; Chaetosphaeriales; Linocarpaceae
Description: eukaryotic LSU rRNA
Rfam family: Eukaryotic large subunit ribosomal RNA
Source: RNAcentral